Molecule: ribosomal RNA, 253 nt
Filed under: uncultured bacterium
Lineage: Bacteria
Description: partial 16S ribosomal RNA
Rfam family: Bacterial small subunit ribosomal RNA
Source: RNAcentral
UACGAAGGGGGCUAGCGUUGUUCGGAUUCAUUGGGCGUAAAGGGUGCGUAGGCGGCGGGGAAAGUCUGAUGUGAAAUCCUGGGGCUCAACCCUGGAACUGCAUUGGAUACUUCCUUGCUAGAGUACUGGAGAGGAAACUGGAAUUUACGGUGUAGCAGUGAAAUGCGUAGAGAUCGUAAGGAAGACCAGUGGCGAAGGCGAGUUUCUGGACAGUUACUGACGCUGAGGCACGAAGGCCAGGGGAGCAAACGGG